Molecule: transfer RNA, 75 nt
Filed under: Candidatus Wolfebacteria bacterium GWA1_42_9
Lineage: Bacteria; Candidatus Wolfeibacteriota
Description: tRNA-Ile
Rfam family: tRNA
About the family: Transfer RNA (tRNA) molecules are approximately 80 nucleotides in length. Their secondary structure includes four short double-helical elements and three loops (D, anti-codon, and T loops). Further hydrogen bonds mediate the characteristic L-shaped molecular structure. tRNAs have two regions of fundamental functional importance: the anti-codon, which is responsible for specific mRNA codon recognition, and the 3' end, to which the tRNAs corresponding amino acid is attached (by aminoacyl-tRNA synthetases). tRNAs cope with the degeneracy of the genetic code in two manners: having more than one tRNA (with a specific anti-codon) for a particular amino acid; and 'wobble' base-pairing, i.e. permitting non-standard base-pairing at the 3rd anti-codon position.
Source: RNAcentral
GCGCGUGUAGUUCAGUGGUAGAACGCUGUCCUGAUAAGACAGAGGUCGAAGGUUCGAUCCCUUCCACGCGCACCU